RNAcentral lists this ribosomal RNA (468 nucleotides) under uncultured Glomus. Its description in RNAcentral is "SSU rRNA". It matches the Rfam family "Eukaryotic small subunit ribosomal RNA", at positions 569 to 1042 of the family's 1831-position model. The record is from RNAcentral. Lineage: Eukaryota; Fungi; Glomeromycota; Glomeromycetes; Glomerales; Glomeraceae.
AGCAGCCGCGGUAAUUCCAGCUCCAAUAGCGUAUAUUAAAGUUGUUGCAGUUAAAAAGCUCGUAGUUGAAUUUCGGGAUCAAUAUGUCGGUCGUGCUUCGGUACGUACUGGCGUUAUUGGUUUCUCCCUUCUGACGAACCAUGAUGUCAUUAAUUUGAUGUCUUGGGGAAUCAGGACUGUUACUUUGAAAAAUUAGAGUGUUUAAAGCAGGCUCACGCUUGAAUACAUUAGCAUGGAAUAAUGAAAUAGGACGUUUAAUUCUAUUUUGUUGGUUUCUAGGAUUGACGUAAUGAUUAAUAGGGAUAGUUGGGGGCAUUAGUAUUCAAUUGUCAGAGGUGAAAUUCUUGGAUUUAUUGAAGACUAACUACUGCGAAAGCAUUUGCCAAGGAUGUUUUCAUUAAUACAAGAACGAAAGUUAGGGGAUCGAAGACGAUCAGAUACCGUCGUAGUCUUAACCAUAAACUAUAG